This 103-nucleotide ribosomal RNA is filed under the name Davallia solida var. fejeensis. RNAcentral's name for it is "4.5S ribosomal RNA". The record is from RNAcentral. Lineage: Eukaryota; Viridiplantae; Streptophyta; Polypodiopsida; Polypodiales; Davalliaceae.
UAAGGUCACGGCGAGACGAGCCGUUUAUCAACACGAUAGGUGCUAAGUGGAGGUGCAGCAAUGCGUGCAGCUGAGGCAUCCUAACAGACCGAGAGGUUUGAAC